ACGGUCUUCCCAGGCCCGUAUCUUUGCUUCUGUGAGGAGCGGGACCCCGGAAUGGCCGAGAAGGGCAAUUAAGAGGGCGAGACGGGUCAGAGGACUUCCGCCCUGGCUUCCGAACUGGCCGAGGUGGAGCAGGGUUUCACAUUGGUGACCUGUGCUGUGCUCGCCAGUUAACCGUGGCAGCUUUUCUUUGCGGGCGUAUGUUUUUGGGAAAUGCUGGAAUAGUCGGGGACGCUGAAGUUCUCAAUGUCUUUGUGGGACUCUCCUCUUUCAAGAGAGGGGGACUGAGAAGCAGAGAUUAUGGCUGCUGUGUUUUUUGCAGUUGGACCUUUGAGUUCUGA
RNAcentral lists this long non-coding RNA (338 nucleotides) under Urocitellus parryii (Arctic ground squirrel). RNAcentral's name for it is "lncRNA (ENSUPAG00010022835.1)". Lineage: Eukaryota; Metazoa; Chordata; Mammalia; Rodentia; Sciuridae. The record is from RNAcentral.